GUUAGUGGCGCACGGGUGAGUAAUAUAUAGCUAAUCUGCCCCUUGGAAGAGGACAACAGUUGGAAACGACUGCUAAUACUCUAUACUCCAUUUUGUCUCAAGAUAAAAUGGGAAAAUGUUUUUCGCCAAGGGAUGAGGCUGUAUCGUAUCAGCUAGUUGGUGGGGUAAUGGCUCACCAAGGCUAUGACGCGUAGCUGGUCUGAGAGGAUGAUCAGCCACACUGGAACUGAGACACGGUCCAG
This 242-nucleotide ribosomal RNA is filed under the name uncultured bacterium. RNAcentral's name for it is "partial 16S ribosomal RNA". It matches the Rfam family "Bacterial small subunit ribosomal RNA", at positions 91 to 334 of the family's 1533-position model. The record is from RNAcentral.